RNAcentral lists this ribosomal RNA (496 nucleotides) under uncultured bacterium. Its description in RNAcentral is "partial 16S ribosomal RNA". It matches the Rfam family "Bacterial small subunit ribosomal RNA", at positions 29 to 507 of the family's 1533-position model. The record is from RNAcentral.
AUGAACGCUGGCGGCGUGCCUAAUACAUGCAAGUCGAGCGAACAGAUGAGGAGCUUGCUCCUCUGACGUUAGCGGCGGACGGGUGAGUAACACGUGGGUAACCUACCUAUAAGACUGGGAUAACUUCGGGAAACCGGAGCUAAUACCGGAUAAUAUAUUGAACCGCAUGGUUCAAUAGUGAAAGACGGUUUUGCUGUCACUUAUAGAUGGAUCCGCGCCGCAUUAGCUAGUUGGUAAGGUAACGGCUUACCAAGGCAACGAUGCGUAGCCGACCUGAGAGGGUGAUCGGCCACACUGGAACUGAGACACGGUCCAGACUCCUACGGGAGGCAGCAGUAGGGAAUCUUCCGCAACGGGCGAAAGCUUGACGGAGCAACGCCGCGUGAGUGAUGAAGGUCUUCGGAUCGUAAAACUCUGUUAUUAGGGAAGAACAAAUGUGUAAGUAACUAUGCACGUCUUGACGGUACCUAAUCAGAAAGCCACGGCUAACUACGUG